GGUAUUCUGAUGCUUAUUGCACCACAUGUGUUUUUCUUUGAAACAAACUUGCUUUGGCGGUGGGCCCAGCCUGCCGCCAGAGGUCUAAACUUACAACCAAUUUUUUAUCAACUUGUCACACCAGAUUAUUACUUAAUAGUCAAAACUUUCAACAACGGAUCUCUUGGUUCUCGCAUCGAUGAAGAACGCAGCGAAAUGCGAUACGUAAUAUGAAUUGCAGAUAUUCGUGAAUCAUCGAAUCUUUGAACGCACAUUGCGCCCUCUGGUAUUCCGGAGGGCAUGCCUGUUUGAGCGUCGUUUCUCCCUCAAACCGCUGGGUUUGGUGUUGAGCAAUACGACUUGGGUUUGCUUGAAAGACGGUAGUGGUAAGGCGGGAUCGCUUUGACAAUGGCUUAGGUCUAACCAAAAACAUUGCUUGCGGCGGUAACGUCCACCACGUAUAUCUUCAAACUUUGACCUCAAAUCAGGUAGGACUACCCGCUGAACUUAAGCAUAUCAAAA
RNAcentral lists this ribosomal RNA (501 nucleotides) under Candida albicans. RNAcentral describes it as "eukaryotic LSU rRNA". The stretch from base 144 to 297 matches the Rfam family "5.8S ribosomal RNA". Lineage: Eukaryota; Fungi; Ascomycota; Pichiomycetes; Serinales; Debaryomycetaceae. The record is from RNAcentral.